CCCUUAGAUGUUCUGGGCCGCACGCGUGCUACACUGAGUGGAUCAGCGGGUCAGGUUGCGCGAAAGCGUUUCCUAAUCUUUAAAUCCGCUCGUGAUGGGGAUUGACGGUUGCAAUUUUCUGUCAUGAACGAGGAAUACCUUGUAAGCGCGGGUCAUCAUCCCGCGCUGAAUACGUCCCUGCCCUUUGCACACACCGCCCGUCGCUCCUACCGAUCGAGUGGUCCGGUGAGGCUUUGGGAUCUGAGCGGAAAGAGCGUUUCGCUGUUUCUGCUCGGAAAACUCAGUCGAACCUUAUCAUUUAGAGGAAGGAGAAGUCGUAACA
RNAcentral lists this ribosomal RNA (322 nucleotides) under uncultured eukaryote. Its description in RNAcentral is "partial 18S ribosomal RNA". It matches the Rfam family "Eukaryotic small subunit ribosomal RNA", at positions 1470 to 1796 of the family's 1831-position model. The record is from RNAcentral.